GGGGAUUUUUCCGCAAUGGGCGAAAGCCUGACGGAGCAACGCCGCGUGCGGGAUGACGCUUUUCGGAGUGUAAACCGCUGUUCGUGGGGACGAAGCACUGACGGUACCCACGGAGGAAGGCCCGGCUAACUACGUGCCAGCAGCCGCGGUAAUACGUAGGGGUCGAGCGUUGUCCGGAGUUACUGGGCGUAAAGCGUGCGCAGGCGGCUCAUCGCGCUCGGCGUGAAAGCCCCCGGCUCAACCGGGGAGGGUCGUCGAGGACGGGUGAGCUUGAGGGUAUCAGGGGUUGGUGGAAUUCCCGGUGUAGUGGUGAAAUGCGUAGAGAUCGGGAGGAACACCCGUGGCGAAGGCGGCCAACUGGGAUACACCUGACGCUGAGGCACGAAGGCGUGGGGAGCGAAAGGGAUUAGAUACCCCUGUAGUCA
RNAcentral lists this ribosomal RNA (425 nucleotides) under uncultured Thermomicrobium sp. RNAcentral's name for it is "bacterial SSU rRNA". It matches the Rfam family "Bacterial small subunit ribosomal RNA", at positions 356 to 796 of the family's 1533-position model. The record is from RNAcentral. Lineage: Bacteria; Pseudomonadati; Thermomicrobiota; Thermomicrobia; Thermomicrobiales; Thermomicrobiaceae.